RNAcentral lists this ribosomal RNA (569 nucleotides) under uncultured bacterium. RNAcentral's name for it is "partial 16S ribosomal RNA". It matches the Rfam family "Bacterial small subunit ribosomal RNA", at positions 355 to 914 of the family's 1533-position model. The record is from RNAcentral.
UGGGGAAUCGUUCCGCAAUGGACGAAAGUCUGACGGAGCAACGCCGCGUGAGUGAAGAAGGUUUUCGGAUCGUAAAACUCUGUCUUUUGGGGCGAACGUGAGUAUGGUGAACAAUCAUAGUCAGUGACGGUACCAAAGGAGGAAGCCACGGCUAACUACGUGCCAGCAGCCGCGGUAAUACGUAGGUGGCAAGCGUUGUCCGGAAUUAUUGGGCGUAAAGAGCGCGUAGGCGGGAUAGUCAGUCUGUUGUAAAGUGCGGGGCUCAACCCCGUGAUCGCAAUGGAAACAGCUAUUCUUGAGUGCAGGAGAGGAAAGUGGAAUUCCCAGUGUAGCGGUGAAAUGCGUAGAUAUUGGGAGGAACACCAGUGGCGAAGGCGACUUUCUGGACUGUGUCUGACGCUGAGGCGCGAAAGCCAGGGGAGCGAACGGGAUUAGAUACCCCGGUAGUCCUGGCCGUAAACGAUGGGUACUAGGUGUGGGAGGUAUCGACCCCUUCCGUGCCGGAGUUAACGCAAUAAGUACCCCGCCUGGGGAGUACGGUCGCAAGACUGAAACUCAAAUGAAUUGAC